Molecule: ribosomal RNA, 275 nt
Filed under: uncultured prokaryote
Description: partial 16S ribosomal RNA
Rfam family: Bacterial small subunit ribosomal RNA
Source: RNAcentral
UACGGAGGAUCCGAGCGUUAUCCGGAUUUAUUGGGUUUAAAGGGUGCGCAGGCGGGAGAUUAAGUCGGCGGUGAAAUUUUGCAGCUCAACUGUAAAAGUGCCUUCGAAACUGGUUUCCUUGAGUGUAGAUGAAGUAGGCGGAAUUUGUGGUGUAGCGGUGAAAUGCUUAGAUAUCACGAGGAACUCCGAUUGCGCAGGCAGCUUACUAAACUACUACUGACGCUCAGGCACGAAAGCGUGGGGAUCAAACAGGAUUAGAUACCCCCGUAGUCCCU